Long non-coding RNA from Myotis daubentonii (Daubenton's bat), 4239 nucleotides. RefSeq lists it as uncharacterized. NCBI's taxonomy places the organism in Eukaryota, Metazoa, Chordata, Mammalia, Chiroptera, Vespertilionidae. The record is from RefSeq and is a predicted model, not a curated record.
GUAAUGCUGAUUCUUUUUUCCCCUCUUUAAGGGAGAGGGUUCUAUGAGGAAGAGUGGAAGAUUCAGGGCCUCCUGUGAUGGCUCCACACACAGAAGCUCUGCCGGGACGUUUACCAAAACUAGGCCAAGAGCACCUUCUCCAACAGGCAGCUCAGGGCCCUCAUCGGACUGAGGGUUAGCCCUGAUGCUGCCUCCUCAGAUUUUGAGACGUUGGGUGGGUUUCCAAACCGCUCUGAGCCUCAUUUUCUUUUUUCUUUUUUUAAAAUAUAUUUUUAUUGAUUUCAGAGAGUAAGGGAGAGGGAAAGAGAGAUAGAAACAUCAAUGAUGAGAGAGAAUCACUGAUCGGCUGCCUCCUGCACGCCCCCCUCCUGGAGAUCGAGCCCAAAACCCGGGCAUGUGCCCUUGACUGGAAUUGAACCUGGGACCCUUCAGUUCACAGGCCAACGCUCUAUCCACUGAGCCAAACCAGCGAGGGCUGGGCCUCAUUUUCUUUAUCUGUUUUUUUAAAAGAUGUCAAGCAAACCUUCCUUCCGUUACUUAAUAUCUGAAGUAUAUAAUUCAAGAAUAAUUAACUGAAUAUUUUCAUUCACUGUUGCCUUCAGAGCCUAUUGAUAAGCACCCAAAAUGAAAAGUUUCCUUGCUUAUUAUUAUACUUCAACUUUAACCAAAAGAAAAACAUUUACCAAUUUGGCAUGUGUUUCUCUUCUGAAGGUAACAACUUGGAAAGGCUUGCAUUCGUUUGAAGGUAUAGCUUUUGGUUAUUUUCUUUUUUCAAAAUAGUUUUAUUGAUUUCAGAGAGGAAGGGAGAGAGAUAGAAACAUCAAUGAUGAGAGAGAAUCAUCAAUUGGCUGCCUCCUGCACAGCCCCCACUGAGGAUCGAGCCUGCAACCCCGGCAUGUACCCUGACCGGGAAUCGAACCAUGACCACCUGGUUCAUAGGGCAAUGCUCAUCCUCUGAGCCAUGCCAGCCAGGCUGGUUCUUCUCUUUAGAAAUUAGUCACAGUAUGUAACCCCACCUUAGUGGGACCAGAGAAGACGAGUGGAAAAUUCUUAUUUUCAGCCUUUGUACUUCCUCUUUUAGAGCCCUGGAUGCAAAGGUGGAUGAUUCUUUCCAUGAGAAACAGCAGAUUUUACUUCCUAGGGCUGUAACAGGUACCACAAACUGGGUGGCUUAACAACAGAAGUGGAUUGUCUCACGGUGCUGGAGGCCAGAAGUCCGAGAUCAAGGCCAUGCUUGCUCGGGACAUCUUGCCUCCUCCAGCUUCUGGGAGCCACAGGCAUUCUUUGGCUUGUGGCAGCAUAGCUCUACCUGUUUCUCUGUCUUCACAUUGUCCUCCCUCGGUGAAUAGCUAUGUCCAAACCUCCCUCUUCUUAUAAGGACACUAGUCAUAUUGGAUGAAGGAAGGACCUCAUCGUAACUGAUGACAUCUGCAGUGACCUGAUCUCCAAGCAAGGUUGAGAACUGCUGGACUGGAGGUUAGGACUGUAACAUCUUAGGAAGGGACACAAUUCGAUUCUUAACGGAGUAACAGAAACAAGCUCUAGAUAAUUUAGACAGAAAGGGACUUUAUUAGAGGCAGUGGAGAAAUGUGAACAGCUUUGGGGGCCCAGUGCCAGAGCUCACAUACCCUCUCUCUCAAGUGUUGCCACAAUGGGACUCAACUACCGCAGUUCCCAGUUCUCUCCCUUUAAAUUCUGGGUUCCCGGGGGAGAAGGUUUGAAAGGCUCAACAGACUGAGGCAGAUACCCAUCUUGGAAUCACCAGUAGUGACUGGGGACAGUCAUAGCCUGCGUGUAGACCUACCUGGCUGCUAGGGUACACCACCCUCCCCCCAACCCCAGGCCAAUGGCAGUUCUCAACACGGUGGAAAUGACUGUGGACCUGUCAGGAGACGUGUGUCACCCACGCUUCUGUAAGUGAUUCAGUUAAUAACGCUAUCCACCACUUAUUGGUCCAGCUGUCAAGGAAUCUGGUUUGCUUCUCCUAGUUUGUAAGACAUCAGCUUUUAUAUUUGUCUCAUUUUAAGCCAUCAGCAAUAGAGCUUCACUGUAUACAGGCAGAGUGAAGGGGGAGGUGGAAGUUCAUUGAUGUGAUAGGCUCGAUAAAAUGCAUGUAUGUGUUCAGUGUUUCUAAGUUAACUGACACCCAUGGACUUCGGUGUAACUGCUAGGUUUACAGAGAGAUGGAAGGUCUUAAACUGGAUGGGUUGGCCUCAGUGACUCAGCUUCCCAGAGCUCUACUGUACCCUCUUCUCACUCCGCACAGUUUACUAGGUGAGACACUGAGCCCCAGAGAAGUGCACUGACUCACCCAAGCCUUGCAAUCGGUCCCUCAACUUCCAGUUGUCUGCUCCUCAGACACAUCAGACAGACAGACAGAUAGCUGAUUCUCUGUGGUUAUCUAGUGAUGAGGAUAUAUGUAUAUAUGCCUGCAUGGUGUGUGUUGUAUGUUUUAUACAGUUCAUGGUAAACAUUAAUUGAUUUGCUUUAGUGGGUACUAUUCACAGUAGUUUCCGGUUCCUUUUAACACAGUAUAUUCCAGCCCAGUGCUUCCCAAACCUGAAUGUGCAAGCAGCUCACCUGGCGAUCUUGUUAGAAUGCAGAUUCCGAUUCAGUGGGUCUGGCAUGAAGGCCGAGGCUCUGCAUUUCUAACAGCUCCCAGGUGAUGACAAGGUUCCUGACCCACCGUAAAGCUCAGCAGACAGGUGUACUUGAACUUACAUCUGUAUGUAAAGUUGACCCUUGAAAACAUAGGUUUGAACUGCGUAGGUCUACUUAUGCGGGUUGUUUUCUCAAUAAAUAUUGUAAAUGUAUUUUUUUAUGAUUUUCUUAAUGAUACUUUCUCUUCUUUGUAUAUAAUACAUAUGCAAAUAUGUGUUAAUUGACUGUUUUGUUAUCAGUAAGGCUUCUUGUCAACAGUAGGCUAUUACUAGUUAAGUUUUGGGGGCAUCAAAAGUUAUCCACAGAUUUUCAACCAUGCAGGGUCUUGGUGUCCCUAACCCCAAGUUGUUCAAAGGUCAACUGUACAUACAGAAAUGUGUACAAAUGUGUGCACAGAAUCAGAAACACACAGUUAUUAUAUGGGAGAAAGAAAAAGCUAAGUCUAAAUAGAGCUCUCUGAAAUGCCAUCUCGCCACAAAAUCCGUCUCAUCCGAUACUGUGAUGAAUCAUCCACAUCAAGCAUUGUUUCUGUUCUCCAAAACAGCCAUUAUUCAUAACUUGAAGUUAAUGAGAGUAUAUUGCUCUCUAGACUCUAUUAAAAUUGCUUGCACAUCUCAUUGAUUCUGAAAAUCAAUGUCAUUUUGAUUAUAUUUUAGAGAUUUAUUGAUAAUCAAGUAAACAUGAAAGCAAAUACCAUAAUGGAUUUUCUGGUUACUUACUAAAAUGACUGGGCUUCUAAAGGUGUUUUUUUUUCCACCAAGACUUCAUUAUGGUUUCCCAGUAGAGUAAUGUCAAUGAAAGUAGGCUGCUCUGGGACGAUGUAUUUCAUUUAUAUUCUCCUGUUUACCAUAAAGUCUUCUGGGUACAGUAAGGAAAAGCAGUCUAUUAAAAUUGCCCCCUCUCUUUCCAGUCCCUUUAAUUGUUUGUUGCCUAAGAGUAGACUGAACAUGUUAGACAGAGAAGACUGUUGAUGGAUAGACCAACAGUGGAGAUCAUGAUGACGAUGCUGACACUAGCUCUCAUUUUUUGAAUACCUGCUUUAUAUCAGGCUCUGUAUUCUGCGCCUUACAGAAUAGUCAUGGUUUGUAAACCGGGAUCUGCAAACCUAUUUGCAAGUUAUAGUUAAGAUUGUUUUAAUUUUGCUGCUAAUCUGAAAGACACACUCUAUAAUCAAAUACCCAAGUUUUGCACUGAAAGAAAGGAACAGAGAGAGAAUGAGAGAGAGAGAGAGAGAGAGAGAGAGAGAUUGAAAAAUUUUAAUUAAAAAGAACUGAUCUCAUGGGAAGAAAAUUAGUAUAAUAAAAAAUUUAAUAUGAAAAAAAAAGAAAGGAAGGGAAGGGAAGAAAAGAAAAGAGAAAAGAGACUAAUUACCAGGGUUGGGACUAAGAUAGGCAAGUAAGAUUCUUAACUCACUUGAAAAUUUUCAGGGGACUCCCUCCAAAAAAGACACAGAAACAACUUCAAUCAUCUAGACAAAUAUUUUAAUGCAACAUUUUUUUAAAAAAAUCAAAAUGAAUACAAAACAAUUUUAAGUAAAGACAGGCUCCAGCCCUGCACCGCUACACCCAGCCUCACUCC